UGGGGGAUAUUGCGCAAUGGGGGAAACCCUGACGCAGCAAUGCCGCGUGAAGGAAGAAGGUCUUCGGAUUGUAAACUUCUUUUAUCAGGGACGAAAGAUGACGGUACCUGAAGAAUAAGCUCCGGCUAACUACGUGCCAGCAGCCGCGGUAAUACGUAGGGAGCAAGCGUUGUCCGGAUUUACUGGGUGUAAAGGGUGCGUAGGCGGUCAGGCAAGUCAGCUGUGAAAUGUAUGGGCUCAACCCAUAAAUUGCAGUUGAAACUGUUUGACUUGAGUGAAGUAGAGGUAGGCGGAAUUCCCAGUGUAGCGGUGAAAUGCGUAGAGAUUGGGAGGAACACCAGUGGCGAAGGCGGCCUACUGGGCUUUAACUGACGCUGAGGCACGAAAGCAUGGGUAGCAA
This 400-nucleotide ribosomal RNA is filed under the name uncultured bacterium. RNAcentral describes it as "bacterial SSU rRNA". It matches the Rfam family "Bacterial small subunit ribosomal RNA", at positions 355 to 771 of the family's 1533-position model. The record is from RNAcentral.